CUCGUUCGGAGUUUGUCAGUUCACCAAAAAUAGACGCCGUGUACCAGCGUGUGUGUAUGCGAGUGCGUUUAUGUCACUGUAGCUAACGGAGUCACUGGUACGGAGUGUCUAUAUUCAGCGAGGGACGGGCUGAAAAAAGGGGCCUACUUUCCUGCAGGGAGAAGACCGCCGUGAGAGGACAAACACAGAGGAAACGGGGAAGACUGAGGAGCAGAGCAAGGGGCUGGAUAUUAUUGGUCCAGCUGAGUGGAGAUCUCUGCUGUGAUUGAUUCUGUUGUGGUGAAGUGGGACAGCCAAGAGA
Megalops cyprinoides (Indo-Pacific tarpon) is the source of this 301-nucleotide long non-coding RNA. RefSeq lists it as uncharacterized. The transcript is spliced from 3 exons. Lineage: Eukaryota; Metazoa; Chordata; Actinopteri; Elopiformes; Megalopidae. The record is from RefSeq and is a predicted model, not a curated record.